Molecule: microRNA precursor, 70 nt
Filed under: Aedes aegypti (yellow fever mosquito)
Lineage: Eukaryota; Metazoa; Arthropoda; Insecta; Diptera; Culicidae
Description: Aae-Mir-216-P1_pre stem-loop
Rfam family: mir-283 microRNA precursor family
Source: RNAcentral
CAAUAUCAGCUGGUAAUUCUGGGCUUACCCCACCGUUAUACGCUUCCCGGAAUUCCAACUGAUAUCCACU